Molecule: ribosomal RNA, 705 nt
Filed under: Atlantibacter hermannii
Lineage: Bacteria; Pseudomonadati; Pseudomonadota; Gammaproteobacteria; Enterobacterales; Enterobacteriaceae
Description: bacterial SSU rRNA
Rfam family: Bacterial small subunit ribosomal RNA
Source: RNAcentral
GGGACGUAAUGUCGACUUGGAGGUUGUGCCCUUGAGGCGUGGCUUCCGGAGCUAACGCGUUAAGUCGACCGCCUGGGGAGUACGGCCGCAAGGUUAAAACUCAAAUGAAUUGACGGGGGCCCGCACAAGCGGUGGAGCAUGUGGUUUAAUUCGAUGCAACGCGAAGAACCUUACCUGGUCUUGACAUCCACAGAACUUUCCAGAGAUGGAUUGGUGCCUUCGGGAACUGUGAGACAGGUGCUGCAUGGCUGUCGUCAGCUCGUGUUGUGAAAUGUUGGGUUAAGUCCCGCAACGAGCGCAACCCUUAUCCUUUGUUGCCAGCGGUCCGGCCGGGAACUCAAAGGAGACUGCCAGUGAUAAACUGGAGGAAGGUGGGGAUGACGUCAAGUCAUCAUGGCCCUUACGACCAGGGCUACACACGUGCUACAAUGGCGCAUACAAAGAGAAGCGACCUCGCGAGAGCAAGCGGACCUCAUAAAGUGCGUCGUAGUCCGGAUUGGAGUCUGCAACUCGACUCCAUGAAGUCGGAAUCGCUAGUAAUCGUGGAUCAGAAUGCCACGGUGAAUACGUUCCCGGGCCUUGUACACACCGCCCGUCACACCAUGGGAGUGGGUUGCAAAAGAAGUAGGUAGCUUAACCUUCGGGAGGGCGCUUACCACUUUGUGAUUCAUGACUGGGGGUGAAGUCGUAACAAGGUAACCGUAA